CUACGGGAGGCAGCAGUGGGGAGUAUUGGACAAUGGGCGCAAGCCUGAUCCAGCCAUGCCGCGUGAGUGAUGAAGGCCUUAGGGUUGUAAAGCUCUUUCGGCAGGGAAGAUAAUGACGGUACCCGCAGAAGAAGCCCCGGCUAACUUCGUGCCAGCAGCCGCGGUAAUACGAAGGGGGUUAGCGUUGCUCGGAAUCACUGGGCGUAAAGCGCACGUAGGCGGGUUGCUAAGUCAGGGGUGAAAUCCUGGAGCUCAACUCCAGAACUGCCUUUGAUACUGGCGGCCUUGAGUCCGGGAGAGGUGAGUGGAACUGCGAGUGUAGAGGUGAAAUUCGUAGAUAUUCGCAAGAACGCCAGUGGCGAAGGCGGCUCACUGGCCCGGUACUGACGCUGAGGUGCGAAAGCGUGGGGAGCAAACAGGAUUAGAAACCCCAGUAGUCC
Molecule: ribosomal RNA, 440 nt
Filed under: uncultured bacterium
Lineage: Bacteria
Description: bacterial SSU rRNA
Rfam family: Bacterial small subunit ribosomal RNA
Source: RNAcentral